UACGUAGGGUGCAAGCGUUAAUCGGAAUUACUGGGCGUAAAGCGUGCGCAGGCGGGGAUGUAAGACCGGUGUGAAAUCCCCGGGCUUAACCUGGGAACUGCAUUUGUGACUGCAUCGCUGGAGUGCGGCAGAGGGGGAUGGAAUUCCGCGUGUAGCAGUGAAAUGCGUAGAUAUGCGGAGGAACACCGAUGGCGAAGGCAAUCCCCUGGGCCUGCACUGACGCUCAUGCACGAAAGCGUGGGGAGCAAACAGG
Molecule: ribosomal RNA, 253 nt
Filed under: uncultured bacterium
Lineage: Bacteria
Description: partial 16S ribosomal RNA
Rfam family: Bacterial small subunit ribosomal RNA
Source: RNAcentral